This 253-nucleotide ribosomal RNA is filed under the name uncultured bacterium. Its description in RNAcentral is "partial 16S ribosomal RNA". It matches the Rfam family "Bacterial small subunit ribosomal RNA", at positions 524 to 776 of the family's 1533-position model. The record is from RNAcentral.
UACGAAGGGGGCUAGCGUUGUUCGGAAUCACUGGGCGUAAAGCGCACGUAGGCGGAUCUUUAAGUCAGGGGUGAAAUCCCGAGGCUCAACCUCGGAACUGCCUUUGAUACUGGGGAUCUCGAGUCCGGGAGAGGUGAGUGGAACUGCGAGUGUAGAGGUGAAAUUCGUAGAUAUUCGCAAGAACACCAGUGGCGAAGGCGGCUUACUGGUCCGGUUCCGACGCUGAGGCGCGAAAGCGUGGGGAGCAAACAGG